Long non-coding RNA from Oncorhynchus tshawytscha (Chinook salmon), 2863 nucleotides. NCBI's taxonomy places the organism in Eukaryota, Metazoa, Chordata, Actinopteri, Salmoniformes, Salmonidae. The record is from Ensembl.
AUCCAGAACACCAGAACGGAUCCUUCCCCUCACUGUGAUGCAUCCAGAACAACCAGAACGGAUCCUUCCCCUCACUCUGAUACAUCCAGAACACCCAGAAUGGAUCCUUCCCCUCACUGUGAUGCAUCCAGAACACCCAGAACUUUAUGUCCAAUCUUCAAAAACAAAGAAGACAACAGCUGCCAUUGUUUGUUUUAGCAUGUUGUAGAACAAGCACUGUUCUGAAUGAUAUCAAUUAUAUUUUCUUGUGAUAGAUUCACGUUAAUACAGAAUAAUACAGGUAGAUUACUGGUAAAUAAAUACAGAAUAAUACAGGUAGCCUACUGGCAAAUGAAUACAGAAUAAUACAGGUAGCCUACUGGUAAAUGAAUACAGAAUAAUACAGGUAGCCUACUGGCAAAUGAAUACAGAAUAAUACAGGUAGCCUACUGGUAAAUGAAUACAGAAUAAUACAGGUAGCCUACUGGUAAAUUAAUACUGGUAGCCUACUGGUAAAUGAAUACAGAAUAAUACAGGUAGCCUACUGGUAAAUUAAUACAGAAUAAUACAGGUAGCCUACUGGUAAAUUAAAGUGUAUCUAUUUGAAAAAGCAGGAGAAGGCUCAAUGUUCAAGACUGUGUUGUGAAUGAUGCUUAUAUUUUUCUCGUUGUGUUUUGUUGGCCUGGGCAUAGCUGGCUAUUGGGCAAUUUGCAUGUAAGUGUAGUACUGUAUUGUACAUUAGGUGAGUUGCUGUUUUUAAUAUUAUAUGAUGAUGUUUAACAAUGAUAAUUAAAUCCAGAAUAGUGGCACUUGGAGUUGUGUACUAUUUUCCAGAUACAUUUAACAUUAGUGUGUACAAUAUUGCCUGUGUGUAUGGUCUGUUUGCUGGGUUAGAGAGGGAAGUAUACUACAGUAAUGGUGUGUAUGGUCUGUUUGCUGGGUUAGAGAGGGAAGUAUACUACAGUAAUGGUUUGUAUGGUCUGUUUGCUGGGUUAGAGAGGGAAGUAUACUACAGUAAUGGUUUGUAUGGUCUGUUUGCUGGGUUAGAGAGGGAAGUAUACUACAGUAAUGGUUUGUAUGGUCUGUUUGCUGGGUUAGAGAGGGAAGUAUACUACAGUAAUGGUUUGUAUGGUCUGUUUGCUGGGUUAGAGAGGGAAGUAUACUACAGUAAUGGUUUGUAUGGUCUGUUUGCUGGGAGAGAGAGGGAAGUAUACUACAGUAAUGGUUUGUAUGGUCUGUUUGCUGGGAGAGAGAGGGAAGUAUACUACAGUACUCAUAAAAUUUGAUUUGAUUUGAUUGUGGUAAACAAACUGGUUAUCUAAAACUAGAACUCCUUGAAAAUAUUCCAGCUGUAUUCAGAUCCAUCAAUGGACAGAUGAGAGAGUCGUUGUGUAAAUGUUGUGUAGGGGAGUGGCUCGUGGGGCUUUGGUCAAAAGUAGUGCACUAUAUAGGGAAUAGGGUUCCAUAGGACUCUGGUCUAAAGUAGUGCACUAUAUAGGGAAUAGGGUUCCAUAGGACUCUGGUCUAAAGUAGUGCACUAUAUAGGGAAUAGGGUUCCAUUUGGAACGUAGGUGUAAUGAAGUGAAAGCAGCGUGUGCUCCAGUUGAGAGUUUAGGUCACCAUAGAAACGCAUUCAUUCAUUCAGGAGUGGUUGGGUGGGUGGGAUAUCUCAAUCAGCGUCCACCUGACAGAACAAACAUGGUUUAGUCAUCAACAUCUGGUGUGUUGCCCUACAUCGCCUGGAUACAGAAAGGAAACAACAAACUGCUACGGUACAAAACAGAUACAUUCACUUUAUUUUCUGUUUCGUGACAGGAUCUCUGAGUCUGAUAUGACCUCGAUACAUCUUGGGGGAUUUCCUGUAAGCAGAUGAUAAAACCAUGCGCUGAUCUAAUUGGAUAAAAAUAAUCAAAUUAAAAAAACACUUGACAGGACGUUCAUUGGAUGUUGGAGAAAAACUCUAUAUUGUGUCAGAUGCUGUCUUUAUGUUACUGACAAAACGCUCAGAAUGCAUAUAGAAUCUCAAGGCCAUCAGAAUGUUAUACAGCCAUCACUAACUAAGAGAGGCAGCUGCCUACAUACAGACUAAUCGGCCACUUUAAAAAAUGGAUCACUAGUCACUUUAAUAAUGCCACUUUAAUAGUGUUUACAUAUCUUGCAUUACUCAUCUCAUAUGUAUAUAUUGUAUUUUAUACCGCCUAUUGCAUCUUGCCUGUGCUGCUCUGUCAUUGCUCAUCCAUAUACAGUAUUUAUAUGUAUAUAUUCUUAUUCCAUUCCUUUACUUAGAUUUGUGUGUAUUAGGUAGUUGUUGUGGAAUUGUUAGAUUCCCUGUUAGAUAUUACUGCACUGUCGGAACUAGAAGCACAAUCAUUUCAUUACACUCGCAAUAUCUGCUAACCAUGUGUAUGUGACCAAUACAUUUUGAUUUGAUUUGAAUGGUUUAGUUUAGUUGAUGAGGAGCAACAUUAGCCGCUGUACAUGCAGAAGCCCUUCCUGUGGUCCACAAAUAGAACUGAACAGAAAUACAAAAAAAAAGUUCACACUUUUUUAGCUGAGCUCUGAAACUAAAAUGUGUGAUAAAUAUCAACAUAGUUAGAAGAGGACCAGCUACCCCCCUAGAGGAGGACCAGCUACCCCCUAGAGGAGGACCAGCUACCCUCUAGAGGAGGACCAGCUACCCCCUAGAGGAGGACCAGCUACCCCCUAGAGGAGGACCAGCUACCUCCCUAGAGGAGGACCAGCUACCCCCUAGAGGAGGACCAGCUACCUCACCAGAGGAGGACCAGCUACCCCCUAGAGGAGAACCAGCUACCUCCCUUAGAGGAGAACCAGCUACCUCCCUAGAGGAGGACCAGCUACCCCCUAGAGGAGAACCAGCUACCUC